AUGAGAAUUCUGCAGAUACCACUAAACUUCCAAGCUUUUGAUGAUUUCAUUGCAUGGCACCUAACAAAGCAUGGAAGAUUUUCGGUGAAGAGUGCUUAUCAUGAACAAUGGUCACACAAAUACAGGGGUCAAUAUCCUUCAAAUUCAGCGUCCACCAGUAAUUUGCAAGUAGCAAUUUGGAAGAAGCUUUGGGAGUUACAAGUGCCACGGAAGAUUCAGAUUUUUUGUUGGCGGGCAUUGCGGGGAAUUAUCCCGUUGAAAUCCAUCCUUGCUAAUAAGCAUAUACCAGUUGAUGGCGCAUGCCCAGUGUGUCACAAGGGACCCGAAGAUAUGAGGCAUAUGUUGUUUCAAUGUGACUUGGCAAAGAAACUAUGGGCUGGUUUGGGCCUGUCAGAUCGGAUCGACUUUGCAGUACAAGUGGAUAGAUCAGGCUUCGCCAUUUUAGAGUUUCUAUUGCUGGAGCCGGAGGAACCUUUGGUGAUCAUGCCAAGCUUAAAGGAAAAGGAGGUGAUUGCGGCUGGAUGCUGGUACCUCUGGUGGCUCCGUCGGCGACACACCCACCAUGAAUCAGUCCCUCCUUACUUAAGAUGGCAUAUUUCCAUCCUAGCUGUGGUGAAAAAUUACAUGAAUACAGUGACAAAGAAGAGAGAACCAGUGGAACAAAAGUGA
RNAcentral lists this ribosomal RNA (669 nucleotides) under Triticum aestivum (bread wheat). Its description in RNAcentral is "partial small subunit ribosomal RNA". Lineage: Eukaryota; Viridiplantae; Streptophyta; Magnoliopsida; Poales; Poaceae. The record is from RNAcentral.